This 658-nucleotide unclassified non-coding RNA is filed under the name Hevea brasiliensis (rubber tree). The record is from RNAcentral. Lineage: Eukaryota; Viridiplantae; Streptophyta; Magnoliopsida; Malpighiales; Euphorbiaceae.
UUUUUUUUUUUUUUUUUUUUGCGCAUAAAGUUGUUCAAAAGGUGCAUACACUAUAUGAUCUACAGGAAAGUCGUUACUUUGACAUGGUAUUGAAACAGUUAAAUGACACAAAUGGCAGCAACUCCAUAAAUUUUACUUCUUUUGCGUUGGUUAAAUGCCACAGUAUAGGGGUGCACAGAAUUUGACUCAAACCGAAAAAAUUAAUCAUUUAAUUCGCAAAUUUGGUUUUUUCCUUUUUUUUUUUUGGGAAUUCGGUUUGCUUCAGUUUUUUAUUUAAAAACUUUGGUCCAUGUAGUUCAGUUCUCUCAGGAAAAAAUAAAUUUGUUAAAACCGAACCAAAUUUUUUUUUAAUUAAUUAUUAUUAGGUCUCAUAUUAGAGUUAAAAAUAGGAAAUAUAAUUGAAAUUGUGUCUGAAAUGAGUCCAAAAUAAGUCUAAAAAAAUCCCAAGAUGAAGCUCAAAUCGAUAAAAUAAACAGACACAAUCAAACUGGUUCGAUUCAGUUUUCUCCCUAAUUCGAUUCAGUUUUCUCCCCUAGUUCGAUUCAAUUCGGCUUGAUCAACUAAAAAUUUGAGUUUAUUCAAUUUUUUGGUUUUUCAAACCAAACCAAACUUGCUGAUGCUAACCCCUAAUGCAGCACACACACACACACACACACAC